AUUGAACGCUGGCGGCAGGCCUAACACAUGCAAGUCGAGCGGAUGAGAGGAGCUUGCUCCUCGAUUCAGCGGCGGACGGGUGAGUAAUGCCUAGGAAUCUGCCUAGUAGUGGGGGACAACGUUUCGAAAGGAACGCUAAUACCGCAUACGUCCUACGGGAGAAAGUGGGGGAUCUUCGGACCUCACGCUAUUAGAUGAGCCUAGGUCGGAUUAGCUAGUUGGUAGGGUAACGGCCUACCAAGGCGACGAUCCGUAACUGGUCUGAGAGGAUGCACAGUCACCCUGGAACUGAGACACGGUCCAGAAUCCUACGGGAGGCAGCAGUGGGGAAUAUUGGACAAUGGGCGAAAGCCUGAUCCAGCCAUGCCGCGUGUGUGAAGAAGGCCCGCGGGUCGUAAAGCACUUUAAGUUGGGAGGAAGGGCUUACAGCGAAUACCUGUGAGUUUUGACGUUACCGACAGAAUAAGCACCGGCUAACUUCGUGCCAGCAGCCGCAGUAA
RNAcentral lists this ribosomal RNA (500 nucleotides) under uncultured bacterium. RNAcentral's name for it is "partial 16S ribosomal RNA". It matches the Rfam family "Bacterial small subunit ribosomal RNA", at positions 30 to 523 of the family's 1533-position model. The record is from RNAcentral.